This 305-nucleotide ribosomal RNA is filed under the name uncultured bacterium. RNAcentral's name for it is "bacterial SSU rRNA". It matches the Rfam family "Bacterial small subunit ribosomal RNA", at positions 335 to 639 of the family's 1533-position model. The record is from RNAcentral.
UGCCUACGGGGGGCAGCAGUGAGGAAUAUUGGUCAAUGGGCGGGAGCCUGAACCAGCCAAGUCGCGUGAAGGAAGAAGGUACUUAGUAUUGUAAACUUCUUUUGUCGGGGAACAAAGGCGGAGACGCGUCUCCGGAUGAGUGUACCCGAAGAAAAAGCAUCGGCUAACUCCGUGCCAGCAGCCGCGGUAAUACGGAGGAUGCGAGCGUUAUCCGGAUUUAUUGGGUUUAAAGGGUGCGUAGGCGGGACGGUAAGUCAGCGGUAAAAAUGCGGAGCUCAACUCCGUCGAGCCGUUGAACCUGCCGU